Molecule: ribosomal RNA, 1384 nt
Filed under: uncultured bacterium
Lineage: Bacteria
Description: bacterial SSU rRNA
Rfam family: Bacterial small subunit ribosomal RNA
Source: RNAcentral
CUGGCUCAGGACGAACGCUGGCGGCGUGCCUAACACAUGCAAGUCGAACGGAACUUCUUUAAUUGAUUUCUUCGGAAUGAUUUUGAUUAAGUUUAGUGGCGGACGGGUGAGUAACGCGUGAGUAACCUGCCUCUAAGAGGGGAAUAACAUUCUGAAAAGAAUGCUAAUACCGCAUAAUAUAUAUUUAUCGCAUGGUAGAUAUAUCAAAGAUUUAUCGCUUAGAGAUGGACUCGCGUCCGAUUAGUUAGUUGGUGAGGUAACGGCUCACCAAGACCGCGAUCGGUAGCCGGACUGAGAGGUUGAACGGCCACAUUGGGACUGAGACACGGCCCAGACUCCUACGGGAGGCAGCAGUGGGGGAUAUUGCACAAUGGGGGAAACCCUGAUGCAGCGACGCCGCGUGGAGGAAGAAGGUUUUCGGAUUGUAAACUCCUGUCGUUAGGGACGAUAAUGACGGUACCUAACAAGAAAGCACCGGCUAACUACGUGCCAGCAGCCGCGGUAAAACGUAGGGUGCAAGCGUUGUCCGGAAUUACUGGGUGUAAAGGGAGCGCAGGCGGGAAGACAAGUUGGAAGUGAAAACCAUGGGCUCAACCCAUGAAUUGCUUUCAAAACUGUUUUUCUUGAGUAGUGCAGAGGUAGAUGGAAUUCCCGGUGUAGCGGUGGAAUGCGUAGAUAUCGGGAGGAACACCAGUGGCGAAGGCGGUCUACUGGGCACCAACUGACGCUGAGGCUCGAAAGCAUGGGUAGCAAACAGGAUUAGAUACCCUGGUAGUCCAUGCCGUAAACGAUGAUUACAAGGUGUUGGGGGAUUGACCCCCCUCGGCGCCGCCAGUUAACACAAUAAGUAAUCCCCCUGGGGAGAUAGGACCGCAAGGUUGAAACUCUAAAGGGUUUGACGGGGGCCCGCGCAAGCAGUGGAGUAUGUGGUUUAAUUCGAAGAAACGAGAAGAACCUUACCAAAUCUCGACAUCCCUCUGACCGGUCUUUAAUCGGACCUUCUCUUCGGAGCAGAGGUGACAGGUGGUGCAUGGUUGUCGUCAGCUCGUGUCGUGAGAUGUUGGGUUAAGUCCCGCAACGAGCGCAACCCCUAUCCUCAGUAGCCAGCAUUUAAGGUGGGCACUCUGGGGAGACUACCAGGGAUAACCUGGAGGAAGGCGGGGAUGACGUCAAAUCAUCAUGCCCCUUAUGAUUUGGGCUACACACGUGCUACAAUGGCGUAAACAAAGGGAAGCGAGAUCGUGAGAUGGAGCAAAUCCCAAAAAUAACGUCCCAGUUCGGACUGUAGUCUGCAACCCGACUACAGGAAGCUGGAAUCGCUAGUAAUCGCGGAUCAGAAUGCCGCGGUGAAUACGUUCCCGGGCCUUGUACACACCGCCCGUCA